UACAGAGGUGGCAAGCGUUGUUCGGAAUUACUGGGCGUAAAGGGCGCGUAGGCGGCUCGACAAGUCCCGCGUGAAAGCCCCCGGCUCAACUGGGGAACUGCGCGGGAAACUGUCGGACUUGAGUUCGGGAGAGGGAAGCGGAAUUCCGGGUGUAGCGGUGAAGUGCGUAGAUAUCCGGAGGAACACCGGUGGCGAAGGCGGCUUCCUGGACCGACACUGACGCUGAGGCGCGAAAGCUAGGGGAGCAAACGGG
Molecule: ribosomal RNA, 253 nt
Filed under: uncultured bacterium
Lineage: Bacteria
Description: partial 16S ribosomal RNA
Rfam family: Bacterial small subunit ribosomal RNA
Source: RNAcentral